UGAUUAAGCCAUGCAAGUCGAGAGGGUUCGGCCCUCGGCGUACUGCUCAGUAACACGUGGAUAACCUGCCCUAGGGAAGGGGAUAACCCCGGGAAACUGGGGAUAAUACCCUAUAGAUUACAGAUGCUGGAAUGCCCUGUAAUCCAAAGUUCCGACGCCCUAGGAUGGAUCUGCGGCCGAUUAGGUUGUUGUUGGGGUAAUGGCUCAACAAGCCCGUAAUCGGUACGGGUUGUGGGAGCAAGAGCCCGGAGUUGGAUUCUGAGACACGAAUCCAGGCCCUACGGGGCGCAGCAGGCGCGAAAACUUUACAAUGCGGGCAACCGUGAUAAGGGAACCUCGAGUGCCUGUAAAUGCAGGCUGUUCAGGUGCCUAAAACACACCUGAAGAAAGGGCCGGGCAAGACCGGUGCCAGCCGCCGCGGUAAUACCGGCGGCUCGAGUGGUGGCCGCUUUUAUUGGGCUUAAAGCGUUCGUAGCUGGGUUGUUAAGUCUCUUGGGAAAUCUGGCGGCUUAACCGUCAGGCGUCUAAGGGAUACUGGCAAUCUUGGAACCGGGAGAGGUGAGGGGUACUUCGGGGGUAGGAGUGAAAUCCUGUAAUCCUCGAGGGACCACCUGUGGCGAAGGCGCCUCACCAGAACGGCUUCGACAGUGAGGGACGAAAGCUGGGGGAGCAAACCGGAUUAGAUACCCGGGUAGUCCCAGCCGUAAACUAUGCGCGUUAGGUGUAUCGGUGACCACGAGUUACCGAGGUGCCGAAGGGAAACCGUGAAACGUGCCGCCUGGGAAGUACGGUCGCAAGGCUGAAACUUAAAGGAAUUGGCGGGAGAGCA
RNAcentral lists this ribosomal RNA (829 nucleotides) under uncultured archaeon. Its description in RNAcentral is "bacterial SSU rRNA". It matches the Rfam family "Archaeal small subunit ribosomal RNA", at positions 41 to 878 of the family's 1478-position model. The record is from RNAcentral.